This 512-nucleotide ribosomal RNA is filed under the name uncultured bacterium. RNAcentral's name for it is "bacterial SSU rRNA". It matches the Rfam family "Bacterial small subunit ribosomal RNA", at positions 15 to 518 of the family's 1533-position model. The record is from RNAcentral.
GAUCAUGGCUCAGGAUGAACGCAGCGACAGGCUUAACACAUGCAAGUCGAGGGGCAUCACGGGAGUAGCAAUACAACUGGUGGCGACCGGCGCGACGGGUGAGUAACGCGUAUGCAACCUACCUAUCAGAGGGGAAUAACCCGGCGAAAGUCGGACUAAUACCGCAUAAAACAGGGGCACCGCAUGGUGAUAUUUGUUAAAGAAAUUCGCUGAUAGAUGGGCAUGCGUUCCAUUAGGUAGUUGGUGAGGUAACGGCUCACCAAGCCGACGAUGGAUAGGGGAACUGAGAGGUUGGUCCCCCACACUGGUACUGAGACACGGACCAGACUCCUACGGGAGGCAGCAGUGAGGAAUAUUGGUCAAUGGGCGGGAGCCUGAACCAGCCAAGUCGCGUGAAGGAAGAAGGAUCUAUGGUUCGUAAACUUCUUUUGCAGGGGAAUAAAGUGCAGGACGUGUCCUGUUUUGUAUGUACCCUGAGAAUAAGGAUCGGCUAACUCCGUGCCAGCCGCCGC